GGACUACUGGGGUAUCUAAUCCUGUUCGCUCCCCACGCUUUCGCUCCUCAGCGUCAGUAAUGGCCCAGAGACCCGCCUUCGCCACCGGUGUUCCUCCUGAUAUCUGCGCAUUCCACCGCUACACCAGGAAUUCCAGUCUCCCCUGCCAUACUCCAGCCUGCCCGUACCGGAAGCAGACCCACCGUUAAGCAGUGGGCUUUCACUUCCGACGCGACAGGCCGCCUACGAGCCCUUUACGCCCAAUAAAUCCGGACAACGCUCGCACCCUACGUAUUACCGCGGCUGCUGGCAC
This 292-nucleotide ribosomal RNA is filed under the name uncultured bacterium. RNAcentral describes it as "partial 16S ribosomal RNA". The record is from RNAcentral.